GGGGCCUAAGGCGAGGUCGAAAGACGUAGUCGAUGGAUAACAGGUUGAAAUUCCUGUACUGCAUAUCAUCAGAACUGUGGGGACACAGAGAGAUACCGGAACCUGGGAAUGAAGAUACCAGGGCAAGCGAGGUAGGUGCUAAGCUGGCAAAACCGCUUAGUAAGCCGAAGACGUGAUGCGGAGCGAAUUAAAGUAGCGAAGUCCGGGAUUCGAGCUGUCGAGAAAAGCCGCUAUUGUGUGAUAUGUACCCGUACCGUAAACCGACACAGGUGGAUGAGGAGGGAAUCCUAAGGCCGGCGGGAGAAGCAUUGUUAAGGAACUCGGCAAAAUGACCCUGUAACUUCGGGAUAAAGGGUGCCACAGAGAUGUGGCCGCAGAGAAUAGGCUCAAGCAACUGUUUAGCAAAAACACAGGUCUAUGCGAAACCGAAAGGUGAGGUAUAUGGGCUGACGCCUGCCCGGUGCUGGAAGGUUACGAGGAGAGGUUAGAGCAAUCGAAGCUUUGAAUCUAAGCCCCAGUAAACGGCGGCCGUAACUAUAACGGUCCUAAGGUAGCGAAAUUCCUUGUCGGGUAAGUUCCGACCCGCACGAAAGGCGUAAUGAUUUGAGCGCUGUCUCGACAAUGCACCCGGUGAAAUUGAAAUACCAGUGAAGAUGCUGGUUACCUGCGCCAGGACGGAAAGACCCCAUGGAGCUUUACUCUAGCUUGAUACUGGGAUUCGGUACUGCAUGUACAGUAUAGGUGGGAGACGAAGAGGACAGGACGCCAGUCUUGUCGGAGUCGCUGUUGGGAUACCACCCUUGUGGUACUGGAUUUCUAACCAACCUCCGUGACCCGGAGGUGGGACAAUGUCAGGUGGGGAGUUUGACUGGGGCGGUCGCCUCCGAAAGGGUAUCGGAGGCGCUCAAAGGUUCCCUCAGAAUGGUUGGAAACCAUUCAAAGAGUGCAAAGGCAGAAGGGAGCUUGACGGCGAGACCGACGGGUCGAGCAGGUACGAAAGUAGGACUUAGUGAUCCGGUGGUAGAAAGUGGGAUUGCCAUCGCUCAACGGAUAAAAGCUACCCUGGGAUAACAGGCUUAUCACUCCCAAGAGUUCACAUCGACGGAGUGGUUUGGCACCUCGAUGUCGGCUCAUCGCAUCCUGGGGCUGAAGUAGGUCCCAAGGGUUGGGCUGUUCGCCCAUUAAAGCGGUACGCGAGCUGGGUUCAGAACGUCGUGAGACAGUUCGGUCCCUAUCCGGCGCGGGCGUAGGAUAUUUGAGAGGAGCUGCCCUUAGUACGAGAGGACCGGGGUGGACUGGCCUCUGGUGUAUCUGUUGAGCCAUCAGGCUCAUGGCAGAGUAGCCAAGCCGGGACGGGAUAAACGCUGAAGGCAUCUAAGCGUGAAGCCCCCCUCAAGAUGAGAUAUCCCAUACGCAAGUAGUAAGACCCCUUGAAGACGACGAGGUAGAUAGGGCAGAGGUGGAAGCGUAGUAAUACGUGGAGCUGACUGUUACUAAUCGGUCGAGGGCUUAACCGA
This 1517-nucleotide ribosomal RNA is filed under the name metagenome. RNAcentral describes it as "bacterial LSU rRNA". It matches the Rfam family "Bacterial large subunit ribosomal RNA", at positions 1386 to 2925 of the family's 2925-position model. The record is from RNAcentral.